Molecule: ribosomal RNA, 253 nt
Filed under: uncultured bacterium
Lineage: Bacteria
Description: partial 16S ribosomal RNA
Rfam family: Bacterial small subunit ribosomal RNA
Source: RNAcentral
UACGUAGGCAGCGAGCGUUGUUCGGAGUUACUGGGCGUAAAGCGUGCGUAGGCGGUGUCUUAAGUUUGUUGUGAAAUCUCCCGGCUUAACCGGGAGGGUGCGGCGAAUACUGAGAUGCUGGAGUGCGGGAGAGGUAAGCGGAAUUCCUGGUGUAGCGGUGAAAUGCGCAGAUAUCAGGAGGAACACCGGUGGCGAAGGCGGGUCUCUGGGCCGAUACUGACGCUGAGGAGCGAAAGCGUGGGGAGCGAACAGG